UGGCUCAGUGGGUAGAGCAUGUGACUCUUGAUCUCAGGUUUGUGAGUUCAAGCCCCAC
RNAcentral lists this transfer RNA (58 nucleotides) under Mustela putorius furo (domestic ferret). It matches the Rfam family "tRNA", at positions 8 to 63 of the family's 71-position model. Rfam says of the family: Transfer RNA (tRNA) molecules are approximately 80 nucleotides in length. Their secondary structure includes four short double-helical elements and three loops (D, anti-codon, and T loops). Lineage: Eukaryota; Metazoa; Chordata; Mammalia; Carnivora; Mustelidae. The record is from Rfam by way of RNAcentral.